UCCAGACUCCUACGGGAGGCAGCAGUGGGGAAUAUUGCACAAUGGGCGGAAGCCUGAUGCAGCAACGCCGCGUGCGGGAUGACGGCCUUCGGGUUGUAAACCGCUUUCGCCUGUGACGAAGCGUGAGUGACGGUAAUGGGUAAAGAAGCACCGGCUAACUACGUGCCAGCAGCCGCGGUGAUACGUAGGGUGCGAGCGUUGUCCGGAUUUAUUGGGCGUAAAGGGCUCGUAGGUGGUUGAUCGCGUCGGAAGUGUAAUCUUGGGGCUUAACCCUGAGCGUGCUUUCGAUACGGGUUGACUUGAGGAAGGUAGGGGAGAAUGGAAUUCCUGGUGGAGCGGCGGAAUGCGCAGAUAUCAGGAGGAACACCAGUGGCGAAGGCGGUUCUCUGGGCCUUUCCUGACGCUGAGGAGCGAAAGCGUGGGGAGCGAACAGGCUUAGAUACCCUGGUAGUCCACGCUGUAAACGGUGGGUACUAGGUGUGGGGUCCAUUCCACGGGUUCCGUGCCGUAGCUAACGCUUUAAGUACCCCGCCUGGGGAGUACGGCCGCAAGGCUAAAACUCAAAGGAAUUGACGGGGGCCCGCACAAG
RNAcentral lists this ribosomal RNA (589 nucleotides) under uncultured bacterium. Its description in RNAcentral is "bacterial SSU rRNA". It matches the Rfam family "Bacterial small subunit ribosomal RNA", at positions 330 to 929 of the family's 1533-position model. The record is from RNAcentral.